Molecule: long non-coding RNA, 728 nt
Organism: Eptesicus fuscus (big brown bat)
Lineage: Eukaryota; Metazoa; Chordata; Mammalia; Chiroptera; Vespertilionidae
Exons: 3
Source: RefSeq, a predicted model, not a curated record
GACUCGGGCCCCCGGCAGAGGGCGCGGGGCGCGGAGGGGUGGGGCGCCGGCCCCGGGCCUGACCCGCUCCAGCCUGGACCCCCCUCUGCACCGCGGGUUUCGGGGCGUCGCGCAGGAGAGAGGAGGCGCCAGGCUGCCGACGGCACGAGAGGACCUGCCCGGAGCGGGGCGGACCCCACCAGACCCUGGACGCCGAGAGACAUGGACUCAGGGUUCCAGGCACUCGGGCCUCACUGGUGCUCCUUGGACGUGCCCUGACGGGGACCGAACCCACUGUCGUCCCAUCAGGACGACUAACCGACGACGGAGCUGCCCGGCCAGGGCUCUCGGUCCGAACGCCGAUUAAGCAGAACCCUGCGCGACGCUCUGGUCACUUAUCAGGUCCUCUCGUGGGAGCUUGGUCCUCCAGGCACGCUUGCCUCGGGCACACGGAGCGAGAAGCCGGAAGAGCCACCUGUCCCCGGCGGGACCCUGGCUAGAUGCGAGGAAACUGACCAACCGUCCCCGCGGCCCGGGAAGGUCCCGGCACCAGCACUGGAAAUCCGGGUGGGACUUGGACAGCCCCAGGCCCCACAGACCUAAUGGCCGGCUGCCCUGAACACACGGCACAGACAUGCCAGGGAGGGCGAGGGAGACAGGAGAAGGGGCACACGUGGAGGGCGCCCCUCAGGGAGGGAGGGAGACCACACACCCUCGGGGCCGGUGGCAGGGAGCCAGUCGCAGCUGCU